UCCCUGGUGGUCCAGUGGCUAAGACUCCACACUCUCAAUGAGGGGACCCAGGUUCAAUCCCUGGUCAAGAAA
Molecule: transfer RNA, 72 nt
Filed under: Bos taurus (domestic cattle)
Lineage: Eukaryota; Metazoa; Chordata; Mammalia; Artiodactyla; Bovidae
Also listed under: 5 other names
Rfam family: tRNA
About the family: Transfer RNA (tRNA) molecules are approximately 80 nucleotides in length. Their secondary structure includes four short double-helical elements and three loops (D, anti-codon, and T loops). Further hydrogen bonds mediate the characteristic L-shaped molecular structure. tRNAs have two regions of fundamental functional importance: the anti-codon, which is responsible for specific mRNA codon recognition, and the 3' end, to which the tRNAs corresponding amino acid is attached (by aminoacyl-tRNA synthetases). tRNAs cope with the degeneracy of the genetic code in two manners: having more than one tRNA (with a specific anti-codon) for a particular amino acid; and 'wobble' base-pairing, i.e. permitting non-standard base-pairing at the 3rd anti-codon position.
Source: Rfam by way of RNAcentral